This 365-nucleotide non-coding RNA is filed under the name Eubacteriaceae bacterium. RNAcentral's name for it is "T-box sequence". It matches the Rfam family "T-box leader". Rfam says of the family: Uncharged tRNA acts as the effector for transcription antitermination of genes in the T-box leader family. The record is from RNAcentral. Lineage: Bacteria; Bacillati; Bacillota; Clostridia; Eubacteriales; Eubacteriaceae.
UCAAAUGCAACGAAGAGGAAUAGUAGAAUUUCGAGUGUAUUCAGAGAACCGCUGGGUGGUGCGAAGCGGCUGCAUGACAGAUUUGAACUCGCCUCUGAGCAGCGUGCUGAACCGCAUCUGCUGCGUCAUCCUUUUAUUAUCCCCGGUAUAAACCAUACCGGAGAUGCAUAGAGAUAACAUACAGAUAAUAAAAGGACGCAGAAUCAUAACAUUGCAGCAGCAAAUGUACAGGAUGCAGUAGGCAUAGCCGGAGCCUGACCGUUACAGCAGGAGGAUAUAAGGCUUAUUUAAGUCCGUAUCUGUGAUGAGCGCAUACAUUUUGUAUGAAUAAGAGUGGUACCGCGUGAGUUUUCUCCGUCUCUUUC